RNAcentral lists this ribosomal RNA (635 nucleotides) under uncultured bacterium. RNAcentral's name for it is "bacterial SSU rRNA". It matches the Rfam family "Bacterial small subunit ribosomal RNA", at positions 28 to 633 of the family's 1533-position model. The record is from RNAcentral.
AAAGAACGCUGGCGGCGUGCCUAACACAUGCAAGUUGAGCGGUAAGGCCCCUUCGGGGGUACACGAGCAGCGAACGGGUGAGUAUCGCGUGGGUAACCUACCCAGAGGUGGGGGAUAGCCCCGGGAAACCGGGGGUAAUUCCGCAUGAGUCCUCGGUGACACAAGUCGCCGCGGGGAAAGGCGGGGAUCCUUCGGGACCUGUCGCCUCUGGAUGGGCCCGCGUCCGAUUAGCUAGUUGGUAGGGUAAUGGCCUACCAAGGCGACGAUCGGUAGCCGGCCUGAGAGGGUGAACGGCCACAUUGGGACUGAGACACGGCCCAGACUCCUACGGGAGGCAGCAGUGGGGAAUUUUGGGCAAUGGGGGAAACCCUGACCCAGCGACGCCGCGUGGAGGAUGAAGGCCUUCGGGUUGUAAACUCCUGUCAGGUGGGAAGAAAAGCUGUCCGGUUAAUACCCGGAUGGAAUUGACGGUACCACCAAAGGAAGCCCCGGCUAACUCCGUUGCCAGCAGCCGCGGUAAGACGUAGGGGGCAAGCGUUGUCCGGAAUUACUGGGCGUAAAGGGCGUGUAGGCGGCCUUUCAAGUCAAGCUGUGAAAUUUCCCCCGGCUCAACUGGGGGUCUUGCAGGUUGAAAA